UCCUACGGGAGGCAGCAGUAGGGAAUCUUCCGCAAUGGGCGAAAGCCUGACGGAGCAACGCCGCGUGAGUGAUGAAGGUCUUCGGAUCGUAAAACUCUGUUAUUAGGGAAGAACAUAUGUGUAAGUAACUGUGCACAUCUUGACGGUACCUAAUCAGAAAGCCACGGCUAACUACGUGCCAGCAGCCGCGGUAAUACGUAGGUGGCAAGCGUUAUCCGGAAUUAUUGGGCGUAAAGCGCGCGUAGGCGGUUUUUUAAGUCUGAUGUGAAAGCCCACGGCUCAACCGUGGAGGGUCAUUGGAAACUGGAAAACUUGAGUGCAGAAGAGGAAAGUGGAAUUCCAUGUGUAGCGGUGAAAUGCGCAGAGAUAUGGAGGAACACCAGUGGCGAAGGCGACUUUCUGGUCUGUAACUGACGCUGAUGUGCGAAAGCGUGGGGAUCAAACAGGAUUAGAUACCCUGGUAGUCCACGCCGUAAACGA
Molecule: ribosomal RNA, 480 nt
Filed under: Staphylococcus aureus
Lineage: Bacteria; Bacillati; Bacillota; Bacilli; Caryophanales; Staphylococcaceae
Description: bacterial SSU rRNA
Rfam family: Bacterial small subunit ribosomal RNA
Source: RNAcentral